RNAcentral lists this ribosomal RNA (467 nucleotides) under uncultured Nitrosomonas sp. RNAcentral's name for it is "bacterial SSU rRNA". It matches the Rfam family "Bacterial small subunit ribosomal RNA", at positions 197 to 645 of the family's 1533-position model. The record is from RNAcentral. Lineage: Bacteria; Pseudomonadati; Pseudomonadota; Betaproteobacteria; Nitrosomonadales; Nitrosomonadaceae.
UGGAGGAAAGCAGGGGAUCGAAAGACCUUGCGCUAAAGGAGCGGCUGAUGUCUGAUUAGCUAGUUGGUGGGGUAAAGGCCUACCAAGGCAACGAUCAGUAGCUGGUCUGAGAGGACGAUCAGCCACACUGGGACUGAGACACGGCCCAGACUCCUACGGGAGGCAGCAGUGGGGAAUUUUGGACAAUGGGCGAAAGCCUGAUCCAGCCAUGCCGCGUGAGUGAAGAAGGCCUUCGGGUUGUAAAGCUCUUUUAGUCGGAAAGAAAGAGUUGCAAUGAAUAAUUGUGAUUUAUGACGGUACCGACAGAAAAAGCACCGGCUAACUACGUGCCAGCAGCCGCGGUAAUACGUAGGGUGCGAGCGUUAAUCGGAAUUACUGGGCGUAAAGGGUGCGCAGGCGGUUUUGCAAGUCAGAUGUGAAAGCCCCGGGCUUAACCUGGGAAUCGCGUUUGAAACUACAAGGCUAGA